GGGGAGACCCUGAUGCAGCCAUGCCGCGUGUGUGAAGAAGGCCUUCGGGUUGUAAAGCACUUUCAGUUGUGAGGAAAAGUUAGUAGUUAAUACCUGCUAGCCGUGACGUUAACAACAGAAGAAGCACCGGCUAACUCCGUGCCAGCAGCCGCGGUAAUACGGAGGGUGCGAGCGUUAAUCGGAAUUACUGGGCGUAAAGCGCACGCAGGCGGUUUGUUAAGCUAGAUGUGAAAGCCCCGGGCUCAACCUGGGAUAGUCAUUUAGAACUGGCAGACUAGAGUCUUGGAGAGGGGAGUGGAAUUCCAGGUGUAGCGGUGAAAUGCGUAGAUAUCUGGAGGAACAUCAGUGGCGAAGGCGACUCCCUGGCCAAAGACUGACGCUCAUGUGCGAAAGUGUGGGUAGCGAACAGGAUUAGAUACCCUGGUAGUCCACACCGUAAACGCUGUCCACUUUCAGUUUGUGACUUUAAGUCGUGAGUAGCGAAGCUAACGCGCUAAGUAGACCGCCUGGGGAGUACGGCCGCAAG
RNAcentral lists this ribosomal RNA (526 nucleotides) under uncultured Alteromonas sp. Its description in RNAcentral is "bacterial SSU rRNA". It matches the Rfam family "Bacterial small subunit ribosomal RNA", at positions 374 to 892 of the family's 1533-position model. The record is from RNAcentral. Lineage: Bacteria; Pseudomonadati; Pseudomonadota; Gammaproteobacteria; Alteromonadales; Alteromonadaceae.